Molecule: long non-coding RNA, 515 nt
Organism: Syngnathoides biaculeatus (alligator pipefish)
Lineage: Eukaryota; Metazoa; Chordata; Actinopteri; Syngnathiformes; Syngnathidae
Exons: 3
Source: RefSeq, a predicted model, not a curated record
GCUUUUUUAAUUGGUCCUCAACGUCGACUGUCAAGGAUGGAUACAUGGAUUGAUACUGGCGGACGAGGUUCUUGAAUCUGAAGGGGAUUCAUACAUGCCGUAAAUUUCAUGAAGGACUUGCCGGGAACAGAAUGAGUUUCCUGUAAGCCGUCAACGACCUGGUGAAAAUCAAACACUAAGGAGGGAAGACAAGUUCACAAAGACAAGUUCACAAAAAGUACAUAUAAAAUACAAACGAAUCAACGCAAUACGGACCAAGAUGAGCCCUAUCUGAGACAAUUAGUCUCUUCUCCCAGCCUUUCAAUCCUAAGGAGACAAGAAUGGGUAUUAAUACUUAUAAAAAUUAUCUAUACUAUACACUACACUCAAAGAACACUUGUUAGGCCAGGUAAAUGUAUGACCACCCCAUUACCUAGAGGAUCAGAAAGAAAAUACCAAAUAGGUGGCACCAGACAGACUAGUGCAAAUAUUUUCCAAGUAAUUAGUUUCAUUUGCUGUUUUUACCGAUGAGUGAG